Long non-coding RNA from Chiroxiphia lanceolata (lance-tailed manakin), 1048 nucleotides. RefSeq lists it as uncharacterized. The record is from RefSeq and is a predicted model, not a curated record. The transcript has 2 exons. NCBI's taxonomy places the organism in Eukaryota, Metazoa, Chordata, Aves, Passeriformes, Pipridae.
CCUGGGCUGGUGGAAGGUGUCCCUGCCCAUGGCAGGGGGUGGAAUUGGAUCAUCUUUAAGAUCCCUCCCAACCCAAACCAUUCCAUGAUUCUUUAAGUUCAGUCCAGUGGCAGAAAGGAGGUUGCUGAGAUCACCAAAGGGAGGUUGUUGUGGUCACCCAAGUGAGGUUGUUGUGGUCACAAAAGGGAGGUUGUUGUGGUCACCCAAGUGAGGUUGUUGUGGUCUCCCAAGCGAGAGUGAUGUGGUCACCCAAGUGAGGCUGUUGUGGUAACCCAAGUGAGGUUUUUGUGGUCACCCAAGGGAGGUUAAUGGCCACCACACUCCCAGGCCUGUGGGUCACCACAGCCUCCUUCCUGCUAAAGCCCUUUGCCCCUUUUAGCCACCAGUAUUUCAAACCACUCACUUUUGAAACUAAAAGAUCAGGGAUUCCCAAGAAUCCCAGAGUUGGGCAUCCCUCAGCCUGGAGAUCAGAACAUUUUUUACGUCUCCCCGUCCACUUUCUCCACACUUCUCCUUAAGUUGAAGCUCAGUUUUGCUCUCCCUGGUGUGAAGGGGGUGAGGAACUACAGGACUGGUCACCACACUCCCCCAGUGUCUUACUGACACUUUGCUGGGAUUUCCCACUGUCUCCCUCGUGGUGAUUUCAAGCAACUAAACUUUGGAGUCCAACCUCUCUGUGCACGUCAAGCACAGCACAAAGCAUCACCCCCUCGAGGGAGGAAACACCAAGUUCAUUAUCCCUGGCAAUUAAUCUGGGCAAUCACUGUGGGAUUCAGUGUUUGUGUAAACCACAGUUUACCCAAAUCUAUAUUUUUGUAGCCACCCCACAACCCACCAAGGACAAGCAAAGACCUUCAAGGUGGUGAAAAUGCCCUCAUGUUGUUCCUGUUGUGUCUUAAGAGCACUCAGCAGGCAGAAAAAGGGCAUUUGGAGAGAACAUUUCCCCCAUCCACAUCUCCAAAUCAGAGUUUAUAAGUAUAUAUUUAUGUAUGUAUAUAUAAAAUAUAUGUAUUUAUAUAGUUUUAUCACCCCGGGAGCUGGGUGGGAU